This is a non-coding RNA of Ictidomys tridecemlineatus (thirteen-lined ground squirrel), 3666 nucleotides long. Lineage: Eukaryota; Metazoa; Chordata; Mammalia; Rodentia; Sciuridae. The record is from RefSeq and is a predicted model, not a curated record.
CAGGCCGGCUGGCGCGGGCGCGCUGACGUCACGACCACGUGCUGAACCUGCUGACAGAGGCGUUUCCGGAGCCGUCUAAGAGGGGAGUGUCUUCGGUGUUCUACAGCCGGCAGCUGAUGACACAGAAUAUUCCACACAAUCUACAAGGAGCUGAAACAGAGGAAUGGAUAAAAUACAGACACUGUUUUUAGAUUGGGAUAACCAAAGUCAUCUCCUAAGCUACCGUGGCACCAGCCCUUUUCCUCCAUAUUGGCAAGUGUGUCAUUGAAGGUGUAAGUUACUUGAGAUUAUUUCUACUUUCAACACUUACUGUGACUCUCUCCCCCAAAGAGGCUCUGCAGUCUUGAGAGAACAGCUCUUGCACUCCUUGCCAAGACUCCACCCUGGCUGCACUGUGCUCCUACUCUGUACACAUGGACAACAGAGGGAAAAGGGGCUCUCCUGACUCAGUUGUGCUGAACCAGCUCUCAGAUUAAUUACACUGUGAUUGCCCUGCUGUUUGCCUUUGUUGACUUUGAGAUUUUCUGUGUCUCCCCUUGGAAGGACCCAUCUUAACCCUGGGCAAAUAUCCUAUAUCUAAAUCUUGAGAUAAUAGUUUAAAAGGAUCAAGUGACUUUUACUUGAAUAAAGGUGGUAUUAAAGCAAAUCCCAGAGUGAAAUUACUCUGGACCAAUUACAUUUCUAUAUGGUUAGAGAGAAUAUAAAUAUUUCCUAUAAAUACAAAUCCCCACUUUGAUGCUUACUUUUAGGAUAUCUUUGGGUAAGUUAUAUAAACCUUUAUGUGCCUCAGCUGUGCCAUUAUGAGCCUCAUAGUGUUGUUCUGAAAUCAAAUCAAGUAAAAUUCAUAAAAAUGAUGGGAAUUAUGUCUUGCAUAGAAGUGCUCUAAAUUAUUUUCUAUCAUUCUUUAUGCUAAACAAUUUUAGGUUAUGCAAAGAUGUUUACACCAAUGCAAUACUUUUAAAAAUAAUAUCUUUUUAUAUUUUUGGACAACAUUUCAAGGUUCAAUAUAAUUUUCUGUUCAUAUUUGCGAUUGCCUUUUGUGAAAAACUUCUGUGUUUACAUAUACUUAUCUCACCCUUCUCUAGUGUAUAUCUGUUUCCCAUGCACAUGCCUGCUUCACCCUUCUUGGCUGGACAUCCAUCUGGGCUUCCUUCCCCUGCUCAUGUUGCAACCCACCGCACUGCACUGCAUCACUGCAUAGAAGUCCUCUCUACUCCAUUUUGGCCCUGAAACCAGGCCAUUUUCUGACUGCAUAAGGAAGCCCUCUUUGUCCUAUUUGGGAUUUGAUUCUCCUCAUUAGGCCUCUUCUCCCCACUUCUAUCACUACCUUUCUUUAUCCACCUCAUGGUUUUGGUACUGAUUGUUCAGGAAGGGAAAGGGCUAAUAGAAGGAGGAGCUCCUUGGAGGACUCUGGCUGCAAGAAUAGUUGUCAGCAAAUGGAAUGUUAACGGUUGAAGUCACUCAUGCCCUAUGUCUUUGGUUACAACUCCUCCCUCCUAUGAUCAUCAGUACCCUAUUCUUCACAACCCCAGGGACUGCAGCGAGUGAGAAACAUCCAUCAACCUGCAGACUCUCAUCUCUUGAUUCAUUUUUUUUUUCUCUCUGAUACCUGGGGAUUUCCCCUUUAUUUCAUUUUUGAAUGUCUCCAUACAUCUAAAGUUUUUGGUUAUAUCUAACCAACCUGGGUAUUUGUAAUCAGAAAUGUUUAUCUAUAUCAGUUUAGACCUCUAUAUCACCAAACAUUCCUUUGAUUCAAUUUUUAAAUAUUUUUCUAUCAGAUUUCUGUGAUCACUUUCUGAACUGCCAGAUGUUUCUUUUUAGUAUUUAUCAAAAAUCCUUCCAACAGAUACUAUUUUUAGUGUAGUUAACAUAAAACCAAUUUAGCUUGAAGCUUAAAAUGAAAAAGUGCCAUGUGUAAUAUUAAUAGCAUGCUUCUAAUUAGCAUUUGUAAGACAGUACAGGAUAAUACUGUGAAGUAUUAAAAUAACAGGAGGGUUCUCAUCUUUAUAUUCAGUUUUUUUUUUCUAGGCACAGUCACCAGAGGCAGGAGGAACUAGACACUAAAGAAAGAGGAAUUGAAGUCCUGAUGUUUAAGUUUCAAAAUCUGCAGUGUAAAGUUAAGGGAGAAGAAGAAGCAGCUAUAUUCUGUAACAGCUGCUUACUCCUCCUAAGAGAAAGAAGAUAAAUCUCUUUGUGACUAGAUAUUUGAAAGGCAGUGGCCACUGAAAGCGAUGAACCUACCCUCCACAUGAAACAGUACCCUCUUUCACAAGUGUAAGCCACAAGGUGGCCACGUUGGACCCUGUGGAGCUUCCAACCACGUGACUAUCACAACUCCUCUGUGCUGAGUUCUCUAACUGUGCUUCUGGAUGCUGUUGUAAGGACAAUAUCAAUUCUUCUUUCCAUGGUCCAUAGUCACUGGCCUUUACCCUCUAACCAGAAGAGUAGAGCUUUGUGUCCUGCAUACAUUUGUCAAGAUUGUAUACCCAACAAGGAAGCCAUACCUAAGGAUAUACUGUGCACCUGGUAUAUACUUUCAUUAGUUGGGGAAUGUGUGCAAUUUUGUUAUAACUUUGUUUUUUCCAAAUAUAAAUGGUUUGUUAUGAUAUGCAGAUACAGUAGUUAUUCUAACAAACUCUGCACAUGACAAGAAUUUUCAGACAAAUGAAAGAAAUGUCAUGUUCUAGAAGGGUUGAUGCUCAUUCUUUUCUGGAGGAACACUCAGUAAUUGAGGAUCUUUUUGAUAUAAUGUCUAAAUAAGGAAAUUUUGCUGCUUUCCCCCAUUUGUAUUCUGAUUGUUGAGUAUCUUAAAAAUUUAAACUGAUAGUUCAGUAUUAGUGUAAACAAUAAUCUGAUAUUUUGUAUUUUAAUUUAUAUUAUUGCCAUUAGCUUGACAUUGUCUCAUGUAAAUUUCUAAGUGCCUUCAUUAUUACAUGAUUCACUAUGUAAUAAUACAUAUACAUUUAUCAUUAAUAACUCACAAAGCAGGAAUUAGAUAUAAGUUCAGAAUUACAAAAAUGCUGGCUAGCUAGUUAUAGUAGCUAUUUAUUUUUAAUCUUUAAUUUCAUCAAUAUAAAAAUGGAUUUUGUUAAAAUUUAGUAUCUUGAUAUAGUUAAUUUUUAAAAGAUAAAUUUUAAGGUAAAACAUUGAUUAUUCUUUGAAGAAUGCUGUAUAAUAGUGAAAGAAUCUUAUAGUCUUUUUGUAUAGACUGCAGACCAACAGCAUUGGCAUCCCAAGUGUAUGUUAGAAUGCAGAAUCUCAGGUCUCAAAGCAAAAACAGCAUUUUGACAAGAUUUAAUGUGAUUUGUAUGCACAUUAAUGUUUAAGAAGCACAGUUCUAAAUAACACUCAUAAUUUAAAGAAUUAUAAAAAAGUGAUACAUAUAAAAUGAUGCCAAAAUUUGCAUUUGACAUUUAACAAUGAACAAAGUAAAGAAGUAUGGUAUUAGUGGUACCUUGUUAUAUGAGGAAUUUAAAAACUUGCCAUUGUUUUCUAAAAUGUAGUUUUAUUCCUGUUGAGAAGCUGCAGUAUAUUCACAGUAAUCAUUUAAAAAAUGUAUUUCUAAAUACUUUUGUAAUUUUCAGUAUUUGACUCUUUCAACAUCUGUUCUCAAUGGAGAAUGUCAUAUCUUGAGAUAACAAAUUAUUAAAAACUUAGUCAAUGAUG